CCACUGAGCAAGGCUUGGGAUAGAACCCGCAACCUCAUGGUUCCUAGUUGGAUUCGUUAGCCACUGAGCCAUGACAGGGAACUCCGUGACUUUUGUAAUUUUAAUAAAUGAAAUAAAAUUCAGUAUAAUUUUAAAAUAAAAUUGUUUUCAUUUUUAAUGCUUUUAAGAUUUCAAUUUUGGGAGCAUGUUUUGCAAUGUGAUGCUGUACUAGUACUGGUGCUGUACUUUAUAAAUAAAGGUACACAUACUUGGGGGUGUGCAGAAUUUUUUGUAUGCUUGAUCUGAAUAGUUUAAAGACCCCUGUCUUAAAGUACUUUCUUAGAGGGGGUGAUGGUGGUGUGAGUUUGUCUUAGUAGAAGCAACUACUAAGCCUUAAGAAAAAUGGCAUAUUUAAAAAUUGAAAUCAGUUAACACUUUUGUGGUUGGACAAAUUGAAAAAUGUCACCAGAUUUAUGCUUAGAUGCCCAAAGGAGAGUCAUUUGGAAGCUCUUUGAUAUCUCUGUAAAACAUCCAAAAAAGCAGUAAUGCUGCUUGGGAGAGUAACUCAGAACCCUUUGUUGCAAAGACCUGGAGGUUUACAAGAAGACCUCAUUCCUUAGUUACUGGUUGCUUUGGAUUCACAGGAUAUUUGUCACGUGUACUGUGCCUCUGUACACAAAGAGUUGGUCAAAGGAUACAAAUUUCUAGGCAUAAGAUGAAUAAGUUCUGGGGAUCUAAUGUAUAGCAUGGUGAUUAUAGUUAACAAUACUGUAUUAUAUACUUGAAAGUUGCUAAGGAAUUAAGUAUUAUAUGUUUUCAUGCCCUCACCUCCCCCAAAAGUUUAACUAUGUGAGGUGAUGGAGGUGUCAACUAACCCUUUUGUGGUAAUCAGCUUCACAAUAUGUACAUAUAUCAGAUCAUCAUACUGCACACUUUAAACUCAUAGAAUGCUACAUGUCAAUUAUAUCUCAAUAAACUUGGGGGGAAAGUGGGUGGAGAAGGGCAAAUAUCAAUAGAAGGUGAGAACCAAGUACUUUCCCAGGAAAUCCCUCAUGGGAGCAUUAGCAUCCUGGGCUCCUGGGUUCUUUUGUGGGGUGGAAGGCUCUGGAAGACACAGCCCAAACUGGUAGCUAUGGAAAGAGGUGGUCCCAGCUGCUGGAUUUAUUGCUCUGGAAAUCAGUGGUGGGCAUCCAUGGGAGGGUUACAUGAUUGAUUCCAGUGCCCAGAGUGACAGGCAAACACUUAUCACAGCUAGAUUCCCCCACCACUCUUCUGGGCUGGAGCUGCAGUGCCCUCACAACUGCAGCAGGAGAGGAGCCUGACAGCACGGGUGGCAGGAGGCUUGGCAGCCUCACGGAAUGUCUGCAAAUACCUUUCAUUUAUGCAGUUUGGCAGUGCAGUAGUGCAUGAAGGCAGCAUCCUGGGUUAGCCUGGGAAAUACUGGCCUUGGAAGCAGACUUCUUAGGUUGGAAUCUUGAGACCCAGGCUUAAAACAAUGUGGAAAGGGGCAUAGCAUUUCCAGAAACCCUUCUCUUUUGCUGGCCAACAGAUGGUGGCUCUAAAUCUGCAGUGCCGUCAGGUUAGAAAAGAAGAAAGUAUUUAGAGCACCAGUAGAGCCAUUAUUUGAAUAGUAUGGAACAUAAUGGUUUCUUUGGUAACCAAGCCAGAGAGACACCCACACAAAGUUAGAAUGCAUUGGGCUCAUUUCUGUUCCCCACCCCACCCCCCAAUCCAACAAGAUUAAAAUAGUAUACAGAGAAAAAAUGAGAUGCAGCAGCAUUUCAUGCAAGAGGGGAUUUGUUCCCUAUGAGGAUAUAUUAAUGACCUAUGUUUUAUCUUACGGACAACCAGACAUAGCAGUUUCUAGCUAUGAAACUGUUUUGAUGGUCAUUCAGAUUGUUUACUCUCUGCCCAGACUUCAGCACUGACAUGUCGAUAGGACACUGAGAAAUAUGAGACAGGGGAAUAUGAGAAAUACUUAACUCGUUUUACACUGCUCAUGGUCUUAGCACUAGCCAGGUGAAGGCAGCACAUAAGAGGCAAAACCAAUGAGUCUGAAAGGAAACCAUUUGCCAUUCAAGAACAAUUUCUUUUCAGCUCUAUGAGUAAUUUCUCUUCAGGUUGAUUAAGUUCCAAAUCACUCCUUUGGGUGAGAGUUUAAAAGUGUCAGAUAACAGGAGUCACAUGCAAGGAGUUGAAAGGAAAAGACCCUCCUAGAUUCAUGGCUCUGUCCAACAGAAUUUUCCUUGAUGAUGGAAAUGUUCUAAAUCCGCACUGUCCAAUGAGGAAGCCACUGUACAUGAUGCUAUUUACAGUUAAUAUAUUAAAUUAAAAUUAAAUUUAAAAUUUGUUCCUUGGAUUAAGUUAAAUGGCCAUAUGUGACUAAUGGCUCUUGGAUUAGGGAGUACUGUUAGAAGUUCAGAAAAAAGGAUGAUUUUCAUUAUUGAAAAAUCACCAAAUAGCGAUUUUGUCUUUAAUGUUUCACUUUACUGUUUUUUCCUAGUGUCAGCCUUGCUUGUCUGGAAGUCACCCCAUGGGUUACUAGAAGCAAUGUUUUACUUAACAGUUCUAAUAAUAGUGUAUCUAAGGGGCUCUGAGCACUCCACAAACAUCAUCUCAUUAAUUCCUCCGAACUCCCAAUGGGACAAGUGAGGAAUACAGAUAAUUAUGUUUAAUUUUAUAAAAGAGGAAAACAAACACUAGUCUAAAAUGUAAAUUAUUAGCAGUGAGGCCCUUCUGGAAUCCCACUGUUGACUUCCUUUGCUUUCUUUGUCCUUUAUAGCAAGAACUUAGUGUUUUCUCAUGUCAGGAAAAAGACAUUCCUCAAACAUGUUAGGAUUAAAUGGGAAAAAAAAACCCCUGCCAUAUCCAGUUAUAUAUAGAAUAUUAUUUGAGUGACAUUAGGUUAAAACAGCUGAUUAUUUUUUGCCAUCUUUUAUUCCCACUGUAAGACUUUGGACUGUACUUCUGAAUAACCAAGGAUAAUUAGAUUAUGCUAUUCGACUAGUGUAGCAAACCUUCCUCAACUUUUGUUCGUCUUCCUUCAUGCUUCUUGCAGAAGUAUAAUAUACUGUUAUUUUAAAAAUAUAUUUCUUCAUACAUGAUUCUUAUGAGAGUGACCUAGAAGCAUAGCGAUAUGGUCACCAAAGAUUCAUAGGAACUCUUGACCUCCAUGAAACCUCUUUAUUCAUAGCAUGGAUAUUUGUCAAGACUCUAAAAAAAAUGAGUCAAUAAGUAUGCUUGGAACUGUGCAUACAGUCAACAAACCACAAAAUUCCAGCACUUAUGUUUAAGGAGCUGACAGAUAUUAAUCAAAUAUUUAAGACAUUGUAUAUGCAAUUUCCUCUAUAGCUGGUGCCAUGGAUGAGGCUUAUAAUAGGGAGAGUUGAUGCAGUCAGGGAGGCCAGGAAUGGUUUGUCUAGAAUAGGGAUCAAGAGCUAGAGGAUAAGUAGGAAUUGACUAGGUGAAAGAUAAGAUGAAGAGAGCAUUCUAGUUAGAGGGAGCAGCAUGUGCCAAGUCUCUGAGUUAACAUGGAGCAUGGUGAGAAGGAGGGACUGAAAGAAGGCUGUCAUUGGGGAAACACACAGAGAAAAAGUGGGUUGAGUGCAAGAUAGGGUUGGAGAGGUUGGCAGAAGUUAGACCAAGCAGUAACUGCAGGCUAGUUUAAGGAGUUAUAUUUUCACCUUGUGAGCAAUGGAUGCCAUUGAAGGGUUCUUGGUGGGCGUGGCAACUCAUGACAGAAUUACAUUUUCAAAAGAUCACAUUGGUUGAUUGUGGUGAGUAGGGAACAGUUUGGAAGGUGGUCAUAUCAGGAGGUGGUAUAGAGCUGGUUUCCAUUUAUUUUUUGCACCUGGAUUUAUUCUGAGGCUAUUAGGCAGUCUCAGGACUUGCACUUAACCAUAUUUUUCAUGUAUUGCAUGAAGUCUUUUAGCCUAAUGGGAUGCCUUUACUCUUCUGACAGAGCUAACCACAGCAAUGGUGGGUGAGGGAGUGAGGAGGUUCUGGUCUACGGUGUUGCAGUAAUACCAUAUGUGAUUGAUGAUUUUAGCAUCUUCUUUUUCCUUCUUUGUUGCUAGUUUUUGAUAGAAAAGGUAAAUACCAUUAUUUUUCUUUUUUACUUAGAUGUCUUGAAUCCUUCAACGUAUGCUGAUUUGAAAGUACUAUUUCAAAUUCCUAUCCUGCAGGGUUUUUGUCUUACUGUGUUCCAGGCUUUUGAAACCAACUGCAAAUUUUAAUACAAGGGUUUCUGGGUUCAUGCUUGAAAUAUGAUAAUUUCAUGUGAUUUAUAAUAAAAAAGUAAAAAGAUCUUAAGGUUCUAUUGUACUUUUUUGUAUGUCUAUUACAGUACUUGUUCAUUCUAAUUGGCAUUGCAGUUAUUUACACGCGCACAUUAAGCUCUUUCUAUAGCCCCACUCUCCUUCCCUUUCACCUCCUACUCAUCCUUCAGAUUUCAUGUUAUCACCUUUUCAGGGAAGGAUUCCCUGAUCUUUCUACAUAGGAAUCUUCUCUAUUUUAUGUGUUUUUUUGUGGCACUGUGAUCACUUACACUAACUCAUCUGCUAUUUGACCACUGUCUGCCUGCUGGUUGGGGAAGACGCUGGAGGCUUGGAUGCUGCCCUUGACUAUACUCACCAUUGGGUCCACUGCACUGAUAAUGUGCCUGCCACAGAGACACUCACUCAGUGUUUGCUAAUGAAUAAAUAACUACACUUACAUGAAUGUACUUGAGGUCAGGGAAUUUUCACUUCUUGGUUGUCUUGUCUAUUUUACCCAACAGCUGAAGAAUUGAUGUAAGCUUACAGCAGGCUCCUAGGAAACCAGGCCCCCAUCUCACCUUGGUGCAUAGUGGUUUUGGCAGCCUCUGGCAGCUACUGCAGCCCUGGGUGGCUCCUGUGGUCCCAGGUAGCAUCCUUGGAACUAGGCUUCUGAUGGGUUCCUGUGAACCCAGGCACCUAGCUCACCCUGGCACCUGCAGACUCCAGUGGUCCUAGGCAGCUCUUAUAGCCCUGGGUUCCUGAUGGGCUUUUGAAAAUUCAAGCUUCUGCAUAAACCCUGCAGCACCAUGCUCCCAGUGGAUUUCUGAGAACCCAGUCUCCCAGCUUGUUUCUAGCACUGGCUGGUUGCCAUAGCCUCAGGCAGCUUCCAUGCCACCAGGCUCUUGGCAUGUCCCUGCACUAGCCAACUCCUGUGGCCUGUGCAGUUCCCCAGGUUCUCAUUCAGCUACAGUAAACCCAGGAUCUAGGCUCCUGGGCAGGCCUAGCACCAAGUCUAUUCCAUGGACCAAGUCAUCAGGCUGGUCCCUCUGGACCCAGGCAAUAAACCUGCCUGCUCAAGGACUUCAGCAGCAAGCAUACCCACCUAAACCACCUGAUGGCCCACCCAGAAUCAAUCCCUAGACAGGAUGACUGGUGAAGGGCUUUCCCUGCCAAGCCAGUCUGUAAAGAUUGGAAGAGUUAUUUACUUUCUCAAAUUUAUAGACACCAGUGCAGAGCCACAAGGAUCAUGAAUAACCUAGGAACCAUGACAUGACCAAAGGAAACUAGUAAAACUCUAAUGACUGAUCCCAAAGAAAUGGAAAUAUGUCGACUGUCUGACAAAUAAUUCAGAAUUAUUCUCUUAAAGAAAUUCAGUGAACUGUAAGAAGACAAAGAUAGACAGCCAAAUGAUUUUAGGAAAACAAUGCAUGAACAAAAUGAGAAGUUGAACAAGAAAUAGAAAUGAUUAAAAAUAACCAAACUGAAAUUCUAGAGUUGAAGAAAAUAGUGACUGAACUGUAGAAUUCAGUGGAGAGAUUCAUGAGCAGACUUGACCAAGCAGAAGAAUUAGUCAGCUUGAAGACAGAUCAUUUCAAAUCAUCCAGCAGAUAAGCAAAAAGGAGAAAAAGAAUGAAAAAUAGUGAAGGUAGCCUAUGUGAAUUAAGGGACACUAUUAAAAGAAACAAUCUAUGCAUUAUUGUAGUCCCAGAAGGAGUAGAGAAAGUGGCAGAAAGCUUAUUUAACAAAUAAUGGCUAAGAACUUCUCAAAUAUGAGGAGCGAUUUGGACAUUCAAUUUCAUAAAGCUAAUAGAUGACCCCGAAAAUUCAACCCAAAAUGAUCCUUUCCAAGACACAUAUAAUAAAACUAUCUAAACUCAGGCAAAUAGAGAAUUUUAAAACAAGCAAGAGACAAAAAAAAAAAAUCUCACACAUAAGGGAAUCCCUAUAACGUUGUCAAUGGAUUUCUCAGCAGAACCUUGCAGGCUAGGAGAGAAUGGGAUGGUAAAUUCAAAGUGCUGAAGAGAAAAGCUACCAACCAAGAACAGUUCACCUGCAAAGCUGUCUUUCAAGAAUGGAGGAGCGAUAAAGACUUCCCCAAUCAAGCAAAAGUUAAGGGAGUUUACCACCACUAGAACUGCCUUACAAAUAAUGCUGAAAGGAAUUCUUCAAGCUGAAAUGAAAGGGCACUAAUUAGUAAUAUGAAAAUUAUGUGAAACUAUACAUGCUGGUAUUAUAUCUAGUCACUUAUGAUGGACCAUGAUAAUGUGAGAAAAAGAAUGUAUAUAUAUGUAUGUGUGACUGGGUCACCUCACUGUACAGUAGAAAAUUGACAGAA
RNAcentral lists this long non-coding RNA (6570 nucleotides) under Sus scrofa (pig). RNAcentral's name for it is "lncRNA (ENSSSCG00000061121.1)". Lineage: Eukaryota; Metazoa; Chordata; Mammalia; Artiodactyla; Suidae. The record is from RNAcentral.